This 23-nucleotide microRNA is filed under the name Bos taurus (domestic cattle). Its description in RNAcentral is "Bta-Mir-146-P4-v2_5p (mature (guide))". The record is from RNAcentral. RNAcentral also lists the same sequence under 1 other name. Lineage: Eukaryota; Metazoa; Chordata; Mammalia; Artiodactyla; Bovidae.
UUGAGAACUGAAUUCCAUAGGUU